This 22-nucleotide microRNA is filed under the name Gadus morhua (Atlantic cod). RNAcentral's name for it is "Gmo-Novel-6_3p (mature (guide))". The record is from RNAcentral. Lineage: Eukaryota; Metazoa; Chordata; Actinopteri; Gadiformes; Gadidae.
UUACCACGGUGUCACUGCCUGU